UACGUAUGGAGCAAGCGUUAUCCGGAUUUACUGGGUGUAAAGGGAGCGUAGGCGGUGGUUUAAGUCUGAUGUGAAAGCCCGGGGCUCAACCCCGGUAUUGCAUUGGAAACUGAAUCACUAGAGUGUCGGAGGGGUAAGUGGAAUUCCUAGUGUAGCGGUGAAAUGCGUAGAUAUUAGGAGGAACACCAGUGGCGAAGGCGGCUUACUGGACGAUUACUGACGCUGAGGCUCGAAAGCGUGGGGAG
RNAcentral lists this ribosomal RNA (245 nucleotides) under uncultured Pseudobutyrivibrio sp. RNAcentral's name for it is "partial 16S ribosomal RNA". It matches the Rfam family "Bacterial small subunit ribosomal RNA", at positions 524 to 768 of the family's 1533-position model. Lineage: Bacteria; Bacillati; Bacillota; Clostridia; Lachnospirales; Lachnospiraceae. The record is from RNAcentral.